Molecule: long non-coding RNA, 1048 nt
Organism: Dermochelys coriacea (leatherback sea turtle)
Lineage: Eukaryota; Metazoa; Chordata; Testudines; Dermochelyidae
Exons: 4
Source: RefSeq, a predicted model, not a curated record
CCCAGCUGCAGAGAAUCAGAGGGACUACUCAAGCAGAGCUGAGAAGUCAGUCUAGGGGAGAGAGACCAUAGAGAAGUCAGGACUCUUCUGCAGAUGGGGUCGGUCAGGUUACUGAAAUAAUUAUUGUGCUCUGCUUGGCACUGGUUAAAGCUUAACUGGAGUAACUGCAUUCAGUUCUGUAUGGGGAAAAAAGACACAUGGACCAAUUGAAGAGUUUAGAGGAGCGCAACAAAGCUGGCUUAAUGGCAACAUAAUGUAUCAUCUAAAUUGGAAGCAACAUGACAUCAAGAUAAGCUGGAGGAUCAGUUGAUGCAAAUUGCCUUAUGUUAGCAAGAUCCCUUGUACUCCCAUUGAAAUAACUCACUGUACUUGAGUAUGAGAGAAGGUAAAACACAACUGGAUCCCAGAAAGUGGAUUAGGCACUCAUCCUAUUCCUGAGUGUUACAUGGUGAACUCCUCCAGUAUUAAUUACUGCAUCUGAAGAAGCAAAUCUCUGACACGCGCAGUUUCCAUUUGGAUCAAAUGGCACAUGCAUUUUGGAAAGGGGGCCUUAUUGAAAGACAGACAUUUGAUGCAAUAGUUACUUUCAAAAAAAAUCCCAUUUUGAGCUCUUGUUCUUUUACACUGAUGCACAAAAAUAACAAAUGCAACCAAACCCGCCUCCCUCCCCCAGACAAAAACCAAAGCCCAUAACAAGAAAGCCCCCUUCCUGAUGGUCAGCCAAAAAUGGAAAAAAGUGAACAAAGACGACCUCUAAAGGAAAACAGCAGCCAUGGGGACAUAUGCAGUGAGUUAAGGACACAGCGGCAGCUACACUGACAGAAGAAAGAUGACUCUAAAGUAUAAGUCAAAGCCCUAAUAUAAUGGUAAUGUAGCUCUUCUUCCCUUGAAUUACUUUUGGUAUUUUAGUUUAUUCUUUAUUAAAGUUCUGUUAAAACACACUUCCAAACUUUUUACAAUCUGGAUUGUCUUUUUGCAACCACAGCCCUGCCCAAUUGCCACUGUCAGAAACUCUUCCCAUACUUUGACCAAAUCAUGCAGAUUCAUG